Molecule: ribosomal RNA, 253 nt
Filed under: uncultured bacterium
Lineage: Bacteria
Description: partial 16S ribosomal RNA
Rfam family: Bacterial small subunit ribosomal RNA
Source: RNAcentral
UACAGAGGUGGCGAGCGUUACUCGGAUUUAUUGGGUGUAAAGGGCAGGUAGGUGUCCUUGCAAGUCAGGAGUGAAAUCCUAUGGCUCAACCAUAGAACUGCUUUUGAAACUGCGAGGAUUGAGGAUAGAAGAGGAGAGCGGAAUUCCCGGUGUAAGGGUGAAAUCUGUAGAUAUCGGGAGGAACACCAGUGGCGAAAGCGGCUCUCUGGUCUAUCCCUGACGCUGAUCUGCGAAAGCUAGGGGAGCAAACAGG